AGAGUUGAUCCUGGCUUAGAAUGAACGCUGGCGGCAUGGAUUAGGCAUGCAAGUCGAACGAGAAAGCGCCUUCGGGCGCGAGUAAAGUGGCGCAAGGGUGAGUAACACGUGAGGAACCUGCCCCCGAGCCCGGAACAAGCCUGGGAAACCGGGUCUGAAACCGGAUGACGGCCCCCGGCGCAUGGUCGGCGGGCCAAAUAUUCAUAGCUUGGGGAUGGCCUCGCGUCCCAUUAGCCUGUUGGCGGGGUGACGGCCCACCAAGGCGACGACGGGUAGGUGGUCUGAGAGGAUGGUCACCCACACUGGGACUGAGACACUGCCCAGACUCCUACGGGAGGCUGCAGUCGAGAAUCUUCCGCAAUGGGCGCAAAGCCUGACGGAGCGAUGCCGCGUGAGGGACGAAGGCCCUAGGGUUGUAAACCUCUGUCGUCCGGGACGAAACCAAUGACGGUACCGGGCAAGAAAGCCACGGCUAACUACGUGCCAGCCGCCGC
RNAcentral lists this ribosomal RNA (494 nucleotides) under uncultured bacterium. Its description in RNAcentral is "bacterial SSU rRNA". It matches the Rfam family "Bacterial small subunit ribosomal RNA", at positions 8 to 518 of the family's 1533-position model. The record is from RNAcentral.